UUGAGUAUAAUUACAGUACCUCAAUAAAUAAAAAUGUGCUUAGAGAUGAGGAUGGAAACACUACUACAUGCUUGGGGCUUAGGCGGCUUGGCCCGAAUCAACUCCCAUCAGGCUCGUGAAGGCUUUAUGUUGGAACAUUGGGGAUAUGGGCUGUACUAGAGUUGUGCAUAGCCAGGGAGCACGAUAAAAAAAAAAGGUUUGAGUAAAAAUAUAUACUCGAAAAAUAAGUUUAGACAAAAAAAUAAGGUUCAUUUAGAAAAUAAGUCAGUCUCGAGUAAGGUUUUUUUACUUGGCCCAACCCGAAAUUUCAAUAAAAAACCUGUUAUUUUUACUGUUGUUUUUCCAUAUUUUACUGUUGUUUUCCCACUUUUUAUCCUUGUUUUACUAUCAUUUAAUUAUUAUAUUGCUAC
Molecule: long non-coding RNA, 410 nt
Filed under: Gossypium barbadense (sea-island cotton)
Lineage: Eukaryota; Viridiplantae; Streptophyta; Magnoliopsida; Malvales; Malvaceae
Description: long non-coding RNA (GBAR_LNC018915)
Source: RNAcentral